Molecule: ribosomal RNA, 245 nt
Filed under: Clostridioides difficile
Lineage: Bacteria; Bacillati; Bacillota; Clostridia; Peptostreptococcales; Peptostreptococcaceae
Description: partial 23S ribosomal RNA
Rfam family: Bacterial large subunit ribosomal RNA
Source: RNAcentral
UUAGUACGAGAGGACCGGGAUGGACGUACCUCUGGUGUACCAGUUGUUCUGCCAAGGGCAUGGCUGGGUAGCUAUGUACGGAAUGGAUAAGCGCUGAAAGCAUCUAAGCGCGAAGCCAACUUCAAGAUAAGAUUUCCCACCGCAAGGGUAAGACCCCAGAAAGACUAUCUGGUUGAUAGGUCGAAGGUGUAAGUGCAGCAAUGUAUUUAGCUUAUCGAUACUAAUAGGUCGAGGACUUGACCAAU